GUUUAAAAAAUUCGUCCAUUUCUACCAUUAAAAACUAUUGUGGUUGAUGGAAUAACCAGACAACCAUAUAUGGCAUGCCACGUGUAGCUCAUGCUAACAUACAAUGACCAAUUUUUAACAGUAAAAUGGAUAAUUUUUUUAACA
Gossypium raimondii (Peruvian cotton) is the source of this 144-nucleotide non-coding RNA. The record is from Rfam. Lineage: Eukaryota; Viridiplantae; Streptophyta; Magnoliopsida; Malvales; Malvaceae.